AAAGGUUCCUGUGGUUGGUUUUCGUUUUCUUUGAAAAACCAUGUAGUUUUCCAGGGUGCUAUGACAAUGUUUUAAGUUGCAAGAAGUUGAUAAAGUGUAUUUGGGAAAUAUUAUUCGAGGAUGGGUCAUGUCACUGCAGACUGGACACCACUUGGUGAAGUCUUUUACAGGUAAAUUGCUCUCAUAAAAAAACUAUGGUAAUUUUUAAUAUGACAAUGGUUGAUUUAUACCGAGAUGGUAGAGUUGUAAGAAAUUGCAGGAAUCACUGAGUAUUUUAAUUAAAUACAAAACAAUAGUAACCCUGAAAAUAGUAAAAUUUUGAAAUUGUUUAUUCAACAUUUCAGCUAGAUCAUGCAUAUAUCAGGACUUUGUCAUUGUCAAGAAUGAAAUACUUUCAGUCAUCAUCGUUCAUUCCUAAUUAAUGAGUAAUGAUGACCAAAAUCUAGUCAAAAUGUUGAAAAAAAAAUUCCUGAUGAUGAUUAAAAUCUAAAAAUGCAGAUCUUCUGCCUGGAACAUUUUCCAUGCACAUUUAAUACAAAAACCACAGUCUGGCAGACUGGCAGAGUGAUCUUAGGAAAAACCUAUUGUCUGUUAGAUUAUUCCUUUCUGUAUAUAAAACAAGACGCCUGCUCAGGUGUUCACACUGGCCUGAAAAUGGCAAUUUUCAUGGUAGGGUGUAAUGUGUAGUAGAGAAUUCGAAGUAGACAGGGAUACAGGAGCUAGGUUCGGACCAUAUAAAUACAACCAAUAAAUACAAUCAUGAUCAGCAACUAUCUGCCAUAAUAUACCAAGACGCCGGCUCAGGCAUACCCCCGGCUACGGGCAACUCAACCUGACAAGCCAGGCCCACUGUAAACCAUAGACGGAUUUUGUGGGGGUGCAGGGGGGUGCUACCCCCCAAUAUUAGCUAUAACCACCCCAAACAAAAUGGCCACCCCUCCAAAAAAAUUUUCAACCCCCCCAAUAUUCGGCAUAAUAAAAAAUAAUUAAAUAGUCCACUCCAACGUGCAGAGUGUUGAUGAUACUAAAUAAACGUAGGAGUACACUACAGUGCAAUACUAAUCGCUCCUUGCUUGCAUUCACUGGUAAAUUGUAAAGUUUUGAAACUCUAUUAUCUCCCCUGAAUAGAGUUCGCAGUGCCUUGUCAUGCAAAUAGCUUGCUAAUUGCAAGGAAUGUUUGGAAUUUUUACGAAAAUUAUUUUUAGUUUUAAAUUCUUUUAGGAAAUGGACUUGCCUAGAUUUAAUCUUUAUGCCCCAAAUAUUAUUUACAUCGGAGUUGCAUCAUAAAUUGUACUUGGAUUUGACACAAUGUCAAUGACUUUAUAAAAGUAAAAACAUAUUGUGUAUUGGCCUAUCGGGUUUACACUUUUACAGGUUCAUUUAACUUUAACUCUCUCAAGUCUCAACAGACAAUCGGACAUGCCAAAUCUAUUGAUAUGACAACUUCAAAAAACUUUUUUUCGAAGCUAAAAAUCAUGAUUUUUUUCAAAUUUCACCAGGGAUACUUUGUUUUCUGCUCUCUAGACUCCCCCUCACGGCUCUAGUGCUCCACCCCUAGAAUAUAGACCUUACUGGGGUUUGGGGACACUUUGUGUUGCUUCAGACACCUGCUCACGGCUCACCCCCCUAAAAUUUCUGGCACCACCCCCAGUAAAAAAUAUGAAAAUCCGUCUAUGCUGUAAACUAUGAUCAUCAACAUCAACCGUAAAUAAUGAUGGGCCAAUAAUAUAGCGAAGAAAUUAUAUAGUCCUUGAUUUUUAAUGCCAUUAUAUGACUCGUUUCUGGUGCUAAAAGUUCAUAGACAUAGACGAUUCGUCUAAAAAAUACACCAAUUUGCUUCCAUUUAUAAGAUAAACUGAUCCCAAGCCCUUAUCUAACCCCAACCAGUAAACAUCUAAUAAACAAUUUGAGAAUUAAAAAAGUGGGGGGGGGGAAAGUUGGAUCUUGUUUUGAAAACAAAUCGAACCGUGUACCACGUUUCACUUCACUGCAUGCAAUGCCACCUCACUGAUUACAACUGAACAAAGACAUUUUUAUAGUAAUAUAUGAUGAAAUGGAAAGUAUAAUUUGGUGCAAAUUAAUGUAAUUAGGUGCAAAUCUAUAAUUAUGCAAAUCAACACAAGUAUAUAUGAGUCUACAAUGUAUAUUUAUACUUGUUAAUUAAAAAGUCAAACUGUCAAACCUUUAAAGACCAUGUAAAGUCCGUAAUGUAAACAAACGCUUUGUUUACAUUUUGAACUCAGUGCUACAGUUGUAAAAUAUGAUUAUAGAUAUAUAUUAUACUGAAUUUUUAACACUCUUCUGGUUCGAUCGCCAUGCUUGUAAAUGAAUACAGACUAGAGAUUCAAUUCAAGAAAGUUCAAAAGAUACAAAAUAUUAAUAACAUUCCAACGGUCAGGUCCCGACCAUUGGAAUGUAAGCCUGCGCAGAAUGUAAGCCUGCGCAAAACAGAUUUUACAUGGUCUUUAACUUGUCCUUGUUUAUAUUCCACUAUAUUGUAUAAAUUCAUUGGGUCCAAAUUUUGGGGUUUUCGAGUUGUUACACAAAGAAAAACACAUUAAUUCAACACGCGCAAUAGAGUCCAGAGUGCGACACAACAUAUUUUCCAUGGGAAACCUGCACAAUUCUUUGAAAAUUCAACGAAACUGUGUGACUAUGUCACUGGAGCACUCGGAAUUGUGCGCACUGGAGUUCGGAAUUGUGUGCAUGCGUACAAGUGUAUGGGCUAAUAAACGAAAAACGUACCACAAGCAUGACAUGAGCCGGCUAUUACGUACAUAAAUACGAGCUUGUUACUGUGGUAUUUAAAUCAUGGAACUGAGGAAUUGAUGGCAUUUUGGCUUAGUCGUUGCAGCCUGAGCCUGCGAUGAGCUAACGCAAACUCGAUUUCUCGGCUACGAAAAAACCCCCCAGAAAAAGAGGUAUUUAAGACACUUGGCCUACAGGUCAGUGUAAUGAGGGUAACAUACAUAUGGAUCAUCCAUCAAGGUCCUGACUGGCAAGUUUGGAAAUUACACACUCCAGAUUUCAAAAAUUUAACAGUAAAUAUUAAAUAAAUAGAGAAAAUCAAAAUUCAACCUCGUACCCAGGGUAUUUCCUCUUGGAGAGAAAAGACCCUGGUAGACGCUGGUCACGUGAUCUGCUAAAAUCUAGCAGAUUUCUAAUUAACUAUCUUGGAUUCCUUCACGACAAUCAUACAAAAUGCAAAUUAUAAAUUAAACUAUAGAAAUCAUCCAAAUAUCAAAUAUUUAUUGACCUCAUCUUGGAUUGCUAAUUAAAAAUCUGCUAGACUUUAGCAGAUCAUGUGACCAGCAUCUACCAGGGUCUUUUCUCUCCAAGAGGAAAGACCCUGGUACCAUGUAAUAAAUGUCCAGAUAACAAUGCAAUUCUGCAGUUGUGGGUGUCUGUUUAUGUAUACUGUAGGCAACAUCACUCACUGCAUAGUAAGUAGUUGUAUUUAUUCCUAAAGGCCCGUUUACACUUGCAAUUUUUGCUGCAAUUUUAGGUGCGAUUUUCUUCUUCUGAUGUAUGUGAACAAGUGGAUGAAUUAUGAA
Non-coding RNA from Paramuricea clavata, 3554 nucleotides. The record is from the annotation of a GenBank genome assembly. NCBI's taxonomy places the organism in Eukaryota, Metazoa, Cnidaria, Anthozoa, Malacalcyonacea, Plexauridae.